CGGUCUUGAAUAGGCCAGACUGGAGUUAGUUUCGACUARCUCCGAUUGAAGGCAAAGAGAAAUCAAAUCAUGUGAUCGUUGGGGCAACAACAGCUACAACGCGCAACAUGUGCCUGUUCGUAUAGCAAUGUGCCUUAAAAACACUUGCUGGGCGGAGCAAAGAGAUGCUUGAUUGGUACCCGAAAGAUGGUGAACUAUGCCUGGGCAAAUUGAAGCCAGAGGAAACUCUGGUGGAGGAUUGUAGCGAUUCUGACGUGCAAAUCGAUCGUCAGACCUGGGUAUAGGGGCGAAAGACUAAUCGAACCAUCUAGUAGCUGGUUC
RNAcentral lists this ribosomal RNA (321 nucleotides) under Eriophyes laevis. RNAcentral's name for it is "partial large subunit ribosomal RNA". Lineage: Eukaryota; Metazoa; Arthropoda; Arachnida; Trombidiformes; Eriophyidae. The record is from RNAcentral.